AAAACAUGGCUACUCAGCCUUUGAAAUACAGAGCUGAGGAUGAGAGCAACUAGAUGAGCUAGAAUUGGGUUUGUAUCAUUCUAAAUUAUUCGUUUGGUUACCGAUAGAAAAUAUGGUUGCCAAGUCCAGUUUUUUAUUUUCAUCAUCUUAAACAUUUUCCCUUAAUAGCACUUUGUUUUGAUUUGUGAACGAACUAUAUACUUUUUAUUUAUCUUAGGUCACAGUGUAAUGUUUAACGAUUGAAUUUGUGAGACGGUGUAGCAGUUUUUUUCAGAAACUUGCUAUUCCUGCCAGAUACUCAAAUAUUAUGUCUUCUACUUUUCUGCUUUCCCUUUUCCGUAUUUUUCCCCAUAUAGUAGGCUUAGCACUUGAAACUAUGAGUAUAAUACUGAUGGCACAAUACAAUCGACAAAUGAAUGCUUUCUUAUAGCAUGCAUAUCCGUAUAUAGCAAGCAAAGUUUUACUUCAUUGGUUCUUAGG
Molecule: long non-coding RNA, 480 nt
Filed under: Malus domestica (apple)
Lineage: Eukaryota; Viridiplantae; Streptophyta; Magnoliopsida; Rosales; Rosaceae
Description: long non-coding RNA (MDOM_LNC004317)
Source: RNAcentral